GGGAUUACCUCAGUAACGGCGAGUGAAGCGGUAAAAGCUCAAAUUUGAAAUCUGGCUCUUUCAGAGUCCGAAUUGUAAUUUGUAGAAGAUGCUUCGGGUGUGGUUCCGGUCUAAGUUCCUUGGAACAGGACGUCAUAGAGGGUGAGAAUCCCGUAUGUGACUGGAUACCUAUGCUCAUGUGAAGCUCUUUCGACGAGUCGAGUUGUUUGGGAAUGCAGCUCAAAAUGGGUGGUAUAUUUCAUCUAAAGCUAAAUAUUGGCCAGAGACCGAUAGCGCACAAGUAGAGUGAUCGAAAGAUGAAAAGCACUUUGGAAAGAGAGUUAAACAGUACGUGAAAUUGUUGAAAGGGAAGCGCUUGCAAUCAGACUUGCCCCUAGGCUCCGAUGGUAACUUGUUACCGUUUAUCUGUCUAGGGUCAGGCCAGCAUCAGUUUGGAUGGUUAGAUAAAGGCUUGAAGAAUGUGGCCCUCUUCGGGGGGUGUUAUAGCUUCAGGUGCAAUGUAGCCUAUCUGGACUGAGGACCGCGCUUCGGCUAGGAUGCUGGCGUAAUGGUUGUAAGCGACCCGUCUUGAAACACGGACCAAGGAGUGUACCUCAUAUGCGAGUGUUUGGGUGUUAAACCCAUACGCGUAAUGAAAGUGAACGGAGGUGAGAACCCUUAAGGGUGCAUCAUCGACCGAUCCUGAUGUCUUCGGAUGGAUUUGAGUAAGAGCAUAUGGGGUGCGACCCGAAAGAUGGUGAUCUAUACGUGAAUAGGGUGAAGCCAGAGGAAACUCUGGUGGAGGCUCGCAGCGGUUCUGACGUGCAAAUCGAUCGUCAAAUUUGCGUAUAGGGGCGAAAGACUAAUCG
This 848-nucleotide ribosomal RNA is filed under the name Septotinia populiperda. Its description in RNAcentral is "eukaryotic LSU rRNA". It matches the Rfam family "Eukaryotic large subunit ribosomal RNA", at positions 71 to 937 of the family's 3401-position model. The record is from RNAcentral. Lineage: Eukaryota; Fungi; Ascomycota; Leotiomycetes; Helotiales; Sclerotiniaceae.